GCCAGUGUGAUGUAGUGGUUUGAGUGCUGGACUAUGACUCUGGAGACCUGGGUUCAAUUCCCAGCUUGGCCA
This 72-nucleotide transfer RNA is filed under the name Phrynosoma platyrhinos (Desert horned lizard). Its description in RNAcentral is "tRNA-OTHER". It matches the Rfam family "tRNA". From Rfam's summary of the family: Transfer RNA (tRNA) molecules are approximately 80 nucleotides in length. Their secondary structure includes four short double-helical elements and three loops (D, anti-codon, and T loops). Further hydrogen bonds mediate the characteristic L-shaped molecular structure. tRNAs have two regions of fundamental functional importance: the anti-codon, which is responsible for specific mRNA codon recognition, and the 3' end, to which the tRNAs corresponding amino acid is attached (by aminoacyl-tRNA synthetases). tRNAs cope with the degeneracy of the genetic code in two manners: having more than one tRNA (with a specific anti-codon) for a particular amino acid; and 'wobble' base-pairing, i.e. permitting non-standard base-pairing at the 3rd anti-codon position. Lineage: Eukaryota; Metazoa; Chordata; Lepidosauria; Squamata; Phrynosomatidae. The record is from RNAcentral.